UGAGGAAUAUUGGGCAAUGCCCGAAAGGGUGACCCAGCAACGCCGCGUGGAGGAUGAAGGUCGUAAGAUUGUAAACUCCUGUUAGAGGGGAAGAAUAACUAAGUUUGGAGCUUAGUAUGACUGUACCCUCAGAGAAAGCCCCGGCUAACUACGUGCCAGCAGCCGCGGUAAUACGUAGGGGGCAAGCGUUGUCCGGAUUUACUGGGUGUAAAGGGCGCGCAGGCGGAAUGGAAAGUCAGUGGUGAAAUCCUACAGCUUAACUGUAGAACUGCCUUUGAUACUUUCAUUCUUGAGUUCGGGAGAGAGAGACGGAAUUCCAGGUGUAGUGGUGAAAUACGUAGAUAUCUGGAAGAACACCAGUUGCGAAGGCGGUCUCUUGGUCCGAUACUGACGCUGAGGCACAAAAGCGUGGGGAGCAAACA
This 422-nucleotide ribosomal RNA is filed under the name uncultured bacterium. RNAcentral describes it as "bacterial SSU rRNA". It matches the Rfam family "Bacterial small subunit ribosomal RNA", at positions 355 to 774 of the family's 1533-position model. The record is from RNAcentral.